RNAcentral lists this ribosomal RNA (222 nucleotides) under uncultured bacterium. Its description in RNAcentral is "partial 16S ribosomal RNA". It matches the Rfam family "Bacterial small subunit ribosomal RNA", at positions 328 to 539 of the family's 1533-position model. The record is from RNAcentral.
ACGCUCGACACCUACGGAGGCAGCAGUAGGGAAUCUUCCACAAUGGACGCAAGUCUGGUGGAGCAACGCCGCGUGAGUGAAGAAGGUUUUCGGAUCGUAAAGCUCUGUUGUUGGCGAAGAAGGAUAGAGGUAGUAACUGGCCUUUAUUUGACGGUAAUCAACCAGAAAGUCACGGCUAACUACGUGUCAGCAGCCGCGGUAAUCUGAGCGGGCUGGCAAGGC